Molecule: ribosomal RNA, 301 nt
Filed under: uncultured bacterium
Lineage: Bacteria
Description: partial 16S ribosomal RNA
Rfam family: Bacterial small subunit ribosomal RNA
Source: RNAcentral
CAGUCGCCGCGGGAAUACGUAGGUGGCAAGCGUUGUCCGGAAUUAUUGGGCGUAAAGGGCUCGCAGGCGGUUUCUUAAGUCUGAUGUGAAAGCCCCCGGCUCAACCGGGGAGGGUCAUUGGAAACUGGGAAACUUGAGUGCAGAAGAGGAGAGUGGAAUUCCACGUGUAGCGGUGAAAUGCGUAGAGAUGUGGAGGAACACCAGUGGCGAAGGCGACUCUCUGGUCUGUAACUGACGCUGAGGAGCGAAAGCGUGGGGAGCGAACAGGAUUAGAUACCCCAGUAGUCCCUGUCUCUUAUAA